RNAcentral lists this small nucleolar RNA (137 nucleotides) under Ornithorhynchus anatinus (platypus). The record is from RNAcentral. Lineage: Eukaryota; Metazoa; Chordata; Mammalia; Monotremata; Ornithorhynchidae.
CCCCUCUCAGGGUCGCACCUGGAGAGUUUCCAGUACUCUACCAGUCUCGACACAGGAGGGAGAGUCAAGCAGAGGCAUACCCAUUCCAUUCCUAUCUUGGGCCGUGGCUAGUGAGUGGAAGACAAUCUGCUAGAAGU